UCCGUAGGCGGAAUAAUAAGUCAGGGGUGAAAGUUUGCGGCUCAACCGUAAAAUUGCCUUUGAUACUGUUAUUCUUGAGUACAAACGAGGUAGGCGGAAUGUGAUGUGUAGCGGUGAAAUGCUUAGAUAUGUCACAGAACACCGAUUGCGAAGGCAGCUUACUAGGAUGUAACUGACGCUGAUGCACGAAGGCGUGGGUAUCGAACAGGAUUAGAUACCCUGGUAGUCC
This 229-nucleotide ribosomal RNA is filed under the name uncultured bacterium. RNAcentral's name for it is "partial 16S ribosomal RNA". It matches the Rfam family "Bacterial small subunit ribosomal RNA", at positions 568 to 796 of the family's 1533-position model. The record is from RNAcentral.